Molecule: ribosomal RNA, 253 nt
Filed under: uncultured bacterium
Lineage: Bacteria
Description: partial 16S ribosomal RNA
Rfam family: Bacterial small subunit ribosomal RNA
Source: RNAcentral
UACGGAGGGUGCAAGCGUUAUCCGGAUUUACUGGGUUUAAAGGGUGCGUAGGUGGGCAGGUAAGUCAGUGGUGAAAUCUCCGGGCUUAACUCGGAAACUGCCAUUGAUACUAUCUGUCUUGAAUACCGUGGAGGUCAGCGGAAUAUGUCAUGUAGCGGUGAAAUGCUUAGAUAUGACAUAGAACACCAAUUGCGAAGGCAGCUGGCUACACGAAUAUUGACACUGAUGCACGAAAGCGUGGGGAUCAAACAGG